Molecule: long non-coding RNA, 2451 nt
Filed under: Homo sapiens (human)
Lineage: Eukaryota; Metazoa; Chordata; Mammalia; Primates; Hominidae
Description: non-protein coding lnc-SOD1-9:2
Source: RNAcentral
GCUUUCCCGCCGGCGGCGGCGGCGGCCGCGGCCGCGGGCCGGGGAGACGGCCUUGCAGAGCGCGGGAUCCCAGGGCUGCGAGGGUGACCCAGAGCAAGCCCUGGCGCACGCGCGCUCCGCUCGACGCGGUGCUCCCGGGGUGCGUCUCUGCGAAACGCUCGGCCCUAACCGGCCCUGCACCCGGCGGGGGCGGCGGGCACUGAGCCGCUGGCUCUCGGCUGCCGCGAACAAAGGGCGCAGGAUUUAACCUCGGCUCUCUGGGCGUGCCUUUGCAGGCCCUCGUGCGCUCUGCUGGGGAAAAGAAAAAAAGCUUCUGCCAAUGCCAGUGCAGCUGUGUGUCCGCUGUAGUUGUGCAGGUUAAUUCUGCGCGAGCGAAAACACCGAGAAAGACGUUCAGGCACUGGAUAUCCACGCAGGCCUUAAGGAACCCCUGUGCAGCCUUGUGCCACGAGAGGAGUGGAUUCACUAACUUUCACGCUGAUUCCUCAAACCAAGUUGUUUCAUUUUUGGCCAAAACUCUUUAUGUUGAUCACUUUCCUUGAGUACCUACUGUCUGCCUAGUGUUGGAGACAUGGAAAUAAACGAUAAUUGUUUUGCCUGAAAACAGCACAGUUUAGUGGAGAGGACAGACAACUGAGCAGAUACUUACCAAAGCAUGCUUAGUGUUAGGGCACAGGCCCUGGGAAACGAGAAAGAUGCGCCUCCGACAGGAAGUCCAGGCUACAUCUGGAGGGAGGAGAGGCCUGCAGAGCCUGAUGAGGACUGCCACCAUCACCUCCCCCGAAGGAGGACCAGCUGGAGCUGAGGAGCAAGGUGGACUGAGAGAGGAGAGUGAGACCAUAAAGAGGCUUUGCUCUUCCAGAGUUUGGAUUUUGCCCCCAUAAGGCAGAGGGGAGCCCUUGAAAGGGGAAGGUGGAGUGAUGGAUGCAGUGUUCUCUCAGAAGGAUGGUGCAAAGUAGUAAGAGGAGACAGGGAAAGAAUGACCCCAGCCCCCUGGGAAAAUGAGGGCUGAAGGUGGUGGCGAUAGAGAAGGAAGAACAGAUGUUUAGGAAGUGGAGUGGAAGGGCUGAGGCAGAGUAACUGUGAGGUUAAUAAAGGGGGUGUCAAGGAGGAUGCCCACAGCCUGACUUGAUGAAUGACCUGGGUGGUGGGUUUAUGAGUCAACGUAGGGGAUUUAUGGGGAAGAAGGCGUGGGUUUGAGGGAAGACAGAAUGAUGGUUAACACUUGUCGCUUACCAUGUGCCAACGUCUGCUGACAUGCUAUUCUGUACUCUCCGUAACAGGCUUCUGGGUGAGGUGUCCAUUAGUAAUGCCCUCAUUUUAUAAUUCAGGGAGUGAGUUAAUUAAUGUGCCCAAGGUCACACAGCUGGAUCAUUUCCCUUUGGUGCCUGUGGAGUUUGAGCUGCGCCUGGGACAAGUAAGUGAGGAUGUCUAGGAGGCAGUUGGGUAAACACUUGCAGAGUCAGGAGCGAUGGCUGAGAUGAUAGAAAUCUGGGAGUCAUUAGUGCACAGCUAGUGGUGGAAGGAGCUGAAAUAGAUAGGGGGAAAAAGCCCAGGAACACGGGUAUGUAAGGGAUAAGUUGGAGGCAAGAAGAGGUGAAGAGAGAGCUCUGAAGUGAUCAGCUCUGUCUGGUGCUUGGAGUAGAAGUCCAGCAAGAUAAGAAUUGGAAAGUGCCUGACGGGUGCUACAUGCAGGGAGCUUGUCCUGCGUGUAGGCUGGCGUGGUGAGGGCAAAAGCUAGACUGAUGUGUAUCAAAGAGGGGAAGGCAGGCAGGAGAAAGUUUAUAGAAACUUGGCUGUGAAGGCAAGUUGUGAAGACAACAGAAAAAACCUGCAGGAGGAAGUGAGAGUGUUUGCUUGUGUGUUGUUUUGUUUUGAGAUGAGAGUAAUGUACUCUUUUUUAAAAUUAUUUUAUUUUAUUAUUAUUAUACUUUAAGUUUUAGGGUACAUGUGCACAAUGUGCAGGUUUGUUACAUAUGUAUACAUGUGCCAUGUUGGUGUGCUGCACCCAUUAACUCGUCAUUUAGCAUUACGUAUAUCUCCAAAUGCUAUCCCUCCCCCAGAGUAAUGUACUCUUAAUUACUUGUUAAAGGAACAAAGAAAGUAGUUUUCAAAUUUUAUUUUCGGGUCCACUCAUCUUCUACUUCAUUACCACUUCCUAUCACUACUUUUUAAUCUUCCAACUGAACUACCAUUAUAUUUUCCAAAUCCAUCUUGUUUCUGUAACAGCUGUCAUCCGCAAGACCACUAACAUUGCAUUAGAAAGUACAGACAUGAGGCUCGCGCGGUGGCUCAUGCCUGUAAUCCCAGAAUUUUUGGAGGCUGAGGCAGGCAGAUCACUUGAGGUCAGGAGUUCGAGACCAGCCUCGCCAAAAUGGUGAAACCUGGUCUCUACCAAAAAUAUAAAAAAUUAACCAGGUGUGGUGGCACGUGCCUGUAAUCCCAGCUACU